UUUUUUUUUUUUUUUUUUAUCAAUAUUGAAAAUUGUACAAUUGGAUCGUAACUCAAUCUAAUGGGGAUUUUGGUUUUAUUUUCAGACUGAUCUGCGUUUCCAGAGCCAUGCUGUGCUUGCAUUGCAAGAGGCUGCUGAGGCAUACCUUGUUGGGCUCUUUGAGGACACUAACUUGUGUGCCAUUCACGCCAAGCGUGUGACUAUUAUGCCCAAGGAUAUUCAGCUGGCAAGAAGGAUUCGUGGUGAGCGUGCUUGAGUUGGUGCGUUCUGUGUUUGUGAAGAUGGAUUGUUGGUGGCUGCGGAUGGUGUUUUGUUACUAAGUUUUCUUUUUGUUGAAGCCUAUAGGUUAUUAGGGAAAAAUAGGUGUUUACUUGGUAGUCAUAUUAAUUGUCAUUGGCAAAUACUGCCUAAGACACUGUGAAGGUCUGGUUGUUAGAAAUUUGGCAUGUAUUUGAUUUUUUUGGAUCCUUUAUUUCUCGUUUUAUUUCUGGUUGUGCAGCCACUUUGGGAAUUGUAUUGGACAACUUUCUGUUGCCGUCUAAUCUAGUUGAAGCUAGCUUAUCGUGUCUGUUUGUUCUGAUUAUGGAUUUCCAUCCUUAUGCUAUUUCUCGCAUAUUUGGCCGAAUUGCGCAACCCGUCCAGCGUAAUUUGGUUUAUAACAGAAGACGAAUUUAACGUUUCGUUAGAUGAAACAAUAAUAAGUAAUACUUGUAAUCCCCUUUUUACUAUUAAGUCUUGCCAACUAACUUGUAAUGUUUGAAUUUGAAAGUGUUGUAAAUUGGAAAUGAUAUUGGGGUUUCUUUCUUAUAAAUUUAGUUGAUCUUUUAAGUAAACUAAAUCCUUAUUAGAAAUAUCAAAUAAUUUUACUUCUGUAAAAUGCUAAUGCUGCUAUUAUUUUUCAGCAUGCGAAUUUAUUCAAUUCAAUCAUGUUAGACCGGAUUAGUAUUGGAUUUGAUUAAAAUCCAAACAAGUGAUUGAGUUAAAACAAGACGGAAGCAAAAAAAACUAUUUGCAUCUGGUUUUUGACUAAAAAAAUGGAGUUUGGCAAGUAUUUUUAGUUUGCAAAAUGCCAGGUAAUAUUGAUACCAUAAGAAUUAGCACAGGAAAGGGAAGGUUUUGUUCGGCAAUGUAUUAGUGUUUUCGAUUUUUUUAAAAGCAAGACAAGAAUACACAAGAAGGCUACAACUUUUGAAUUAGAGUAACCAAUGGGAAUGGGACAAUUAGACUUGGCGAUCCGGAUUUGGGGUCCCAAAUGGCAUCGUAGCCGUUUAUUAAAUUAAAGAAAACACAGCUCGACACUAAAUGAACCGUACGAUUCAAAACGUAAAAAACACACGGAUAAUGAAUCGUAUCCGUUCGAUCACUGACAAACGCCUCCAGGAGCAUGCUAUAUAUAGGUUUCACUUCUUAACUUUCAAGAGCUUUAGAUUCAUUUCCCCUAGAUUCAGCCACAGUUGGAAAAAAAAAAAAAGUUGUUCGAGGUUAGUUUUUCUUCUGGGAUUUGGAAAUUUAGGGCUUAUAUCUUUGUCUUUUUAAUUUCUGUUGAUUUCCAAAUCGCGUAUCUUAGUUUAGACCGUUGAAUUUUUUUUCUUGGUUGAUUUUUCUCUAGUUACAGCGUUCUAAUUCUUGCGCCUCCAAGUCAAUAUUUUCAUCUAGUAAUCUCUAGGGUUUUUGAUGUUUGUUUUGUUAUAGAGAAUUAGUCGAUAAUUUCAUCUGUUAACGUGUUAUAUGUCUUUAAUUUCUUAAUUAAAUAAACGAAGAUUAUGGAUAAAUAUUUAAAGUUUUGAAGAUUAGGUUAUGCGAUAAAAAGGGGCAAGAAAGGUUCUAUUGUUUUUUUUUUGUUUUGUUUGAAAUUGAUGUUCUGGUUUAUGUUUUUCUGAAAUUACUUUUGGGCGUGGACACAGAUGGCACGUACGAAGCAAACUGCUCGUAAGUCCACAGGAGGAAAGGCACCUAGGAAGCAGCUCGCAACCAAGGUAUCUUCGGUUUACUUCUAGGCUUAUUUUGGGUCCUUGAAAUUUUACCUGAGAGCUUAAUUCCUUUGUUUUUCUUUAGGCUGCACGUAAGUCUGCACCAACUACUGGUGGUGUGAAGAAGCCACAUCGUUAUCGUCCUGGUACCGUUGCUCUUCGGUGAGUGUUUUCGGGUUUUAAUUUGUUUUGUGUUCUUUGUAUUCCGUUGGUCGUGAUCUCUAAUAAUAUAAUUGAUUCUGGAAAACAGUGAGAUUAGGAAAUACCAGAAGAGUACCGAGCUUUUGAUCAGGAAGCUCCCCUUCCAGAGGCUGGUUCGUGAAAUUGCUCAGGACUUCAAGGUAUUGUAAUGUGUGUUGUUAUUGUUGUUCAAUAUCUGUGUGUUUUUUUGCUGAAUUUGUUAACAAGGAAAUUUUUGGUGUGAUUUUGUUGCAGACUGAUCUGCGUUUCCAGAGCCAUGCUGUGCUUGCAUUGCAAGAAGCUGCUGAGGCAUACCUUGUUGGACUCUUUGAGGAUACUAAUCUGUGUGCCAUUCACGCUAAGCGUGUAACUAUUAUGCCCAAAGAUAUCCAGCUGGCAAGAAGGAUUCGUGGUGAGCGUGCUUGAUGUGGUGGUGGUGGUGGUGGUUGUGAAGAUGAUGAUGGGUGGCUGCGGAUGGUGUUUUGUUAUUCAGAUUUCUUUUUUAUUCAAAGAUAGGGUUGUUAGGGAGUAGGUAUUAAUUGUGAUACGGGCAAAUACUGCUAAGUGUCCAUGACUGUGUCUUCUUCCUUUCAGAAAAUUGGCAUGUAAUUGAUUUUUGGACAUAUGUGUCUGUCUGUCAUAAUGUUUAUGUUUUUACGGGAUGUGUGCAGCCACUUUGGACAACAUUCAGUUGCCAUCUAAUCUCGUUUAAGCUAUGUUUCUUGUGCUUUGCCUUGUUCUUAUCGGGAGAUCUAUCCCAGUUGUUGGUUACUUCGUUUGUAUGUAUUAUUCACCUUACACUUUGCAUAAUCGGUCAUCUGUAACUUGUAUAUAUGGAAUACGUGCAUAAACAAAUGGGUGUGUAUCCUGAGGGGUUCUUAAUGGUAACUGUCAAAUGUAUAAUUGCAUUUGGGUAGGAAGAAAGAUGUGCAUGAAGAAUCGUAAGUAAGCUUUAGCCGGCGGCUGGAGAACUUGAGUUUAUGAUAAAAAGCAGCUCAAUGAUAAUUAGUCUCAUCGCCAAUUGGAUUUCAUAUUCAAUGAAUCAACCAUCAUGUUUCACAUUGUUGUAAUGUAAGUAUUAUUUAGAAGGUAAAGCAAAUAUUUGGUAAAAGUUACAUGUCGUUUAGGUAGAAUGAUGCUAUAUGAUAG
Molecule: long non-coding RNA, 3299 nt
Filed under: Glycine max (soybean)
Lineage: Eukaryota; Viridiplantae; Streptophyta; Magnoliopsida; Fabales; Fabaceae
Description: long non-coding RNA (GMAX_LNC004013)
Source: RNAcentral